Molecule: long non-coding RNA, 9414 nt
Organism: Daphnia magna
Lineage: Eukaryota; Metazoa; Arthropoda; Branchiopoda; Diplostraca; Daphniidae
Exons: 20
Source: RefSeq, a predicted model, not a curated record
ACAGGCAGUGCAAAACUACACAAUGUUCUUUAAUAUAUCUAUGUUUUUAAAAGCCUUGAUGCGAUCGUGCGGUUUAAACGUUUCCGCCUUGCAGUUGCGAAAUAAGAAAGCGGGACAUCUAUCCUAUCAUAUUCUUUGCUGUUUUGUUUUGCUAGUAGCAAAACAAAGUCAGACAGGUGGAAAACAAAUGGACGAUGAGUGUUUGAUCAGUAGUCGAGUAAAGCGGUCGCAUAGGAACUGGCCGGCCCUGUCGUGUUCCACCUUACCAGGAUGAGAUAUUUGUGUGUUGCGCUUUUUUUUAUUUUGCCAAGACAUUUGAAAAACAUAUCGAAUAGCACAUGCCAUUUUGAUUAAACUCCAUGCAGUUUUGGCGACACAUGCAGUCCGUCCGGCUCCGAAAAAUUGCGUUUCAGCGCUCGAAAAAGAUCAAGGCUUGAAGUGAAUUGAAGGGAUUCUUCCCCGCUCUGGUGUAUAAUUUCGGAAUGGCUCGUAAUUGGACGCAAUUUCGACACUGUUUUGAAGGGCUCGAAAUGAACAGCAGGAAGCACAAAGGGACAGAACAAGUACCGCGGGACUCUGAAUACGGUGCGCUGUUUAACGCACUGUAAUGCACGUACUCCGUCUGCAGUCAAUGAAUCAGUUACAGUAGCUGCGUUUCAACAUAAGCGCAGAUGUUGGCAAAACAAAUUUAUUUCUUGCCAUCCAACUCGCCAAGGUUGAAGCCAUUUUUACUUCUCUGCGUCUGGCCGCUUGUCUUAUAGCUAAAAGAGAAACAACAGGCCCGUCUUCAACAGGUCGAUGGCAUAUAGGCGUUCGCAUUACAGCCGAACAGCCCCCCACCAAAAAAAUGAACAUUUUUGAAUAUUUCGCCCGGGCAAACACGAGUACAUGUGGAGCCUUUUGCAUUCGAUCUGCCAUCAGAGUUCAAGGCUGCAAUGUAUACGUGAGGAAGAAAAAGAUGGAAAAAUCCAUAAUGGUUGUCUAAGUGGCUGAGAGAUGCGCACUUUUAUUUAUUUUGAAGGGGAGGUUGUUUAUGAUGACGGUAGUGACGCCAAAACCUACGCAACCAUUUUCUUUUUUCCCAGCCCAACCAAUCGUGUAAGCUCGAUAUAUACAUAUGCGUUUUUUCUUUUCCAUUUCCUUAGUCGGAGACGUGCUGUCAAUUAGCUCGUCGUAUUUUGUUUUGUGCGCAAUUUUUUUUUUUUUUCCUUUUCUGUCAUCGUUAAAAAAACUGCAAACGAUUAGUUUUUGGAUUUUUUCCUUAUUUGUUGUUAUGUCUUGCCAUAUGUUUUUUUAAAGAAUUUUCGUCCAGCCUGCCUCAGGUGAAUCGUUUCGAAACGAAAUGAGUUACACCUCAAGUUUAUUGUUUUUGCAGGUAGAUCAUAAAAGAGUGUGUGCAAAAAAAGAAUCCUCCAUUGAAAAUUCAAACAAUAACGACCGCAUUAAAAAACGUCUAAUUGUUUUAACCCAGUUCGUCCAAGUGCAAUUUCGAACGAGACGUUGACCCCCUGAAAAAGGAGAAUUUAAAAAGAUGUUGUCUCUGUUCAAAAUUGUAAUUGCGGGACUUGCAAUAUUUACGGAUAUUUACCUACGAAAAAAAAAAUUAAAGAAGAGAACCUCUUCAUAACAAACUAGAGACCUUGAAGCCAAAAAUGCAAAUGCGCCGAGGUUCGUAUACAGGAGCAUAUGCCGACUAUACACUAUAUUCAAAUGAAGCAAUGAACCGAAGCGCAAUUUAUUUACGUUGUUUUAUACACCGUAGAUGGGCCCGUCUAUCAGCAUCAUCUAUACCGAUUAUUAUAAGCAAAAAAAAAAAUAAUAUUUUCCUUGGCACAAUUUAUGGGGGAAUGAUGUGACAUGGUUCGCAAAAACAAACAAAAAACUCGUUAAAAUGGUUGCGCAUUUUUCACGACCAACAUCCAACUUUCUUGUUAUAUACCGUCGCUCGUAUAACAAUGCUAAAAACUGUGUUCUCUGGCGUUUAGAAGUCAGACAACGACUGGUUUUCAUUGUGCAAAAGAAAACGCUUCGGUCAAAGUCGAUGUCGGCAGCGCGUUAUAAAGUACCUCUAUACCAUAUUGGGUUAUGAGCAGUCGUGAUGAAACGGCGAUCUUUCUUUUGACACUCAAAGAUAAUUCGCCUUUUCAGCUUUAAAUAUUGCGCGCUAGAAGGCGAAAUAACAAAAGAAUGCGACAUAUUGUAGCGAUGGUACACCAUCGGCCUUCGUAACAUAAUGGAUCCCCAUCGGCGCAAUUAUAGACUUCUAAUCUCCAUCACUUUGAAUUUAAACGUCGGCAUUUAUAGGGACCGGGCCUAAUAAAUGGCUUGAUCGCACCUCCAUGAUGAUACUGUUCUAGCACUUAAAAUUUUUUUAAAAUGAAAAAGAGCUAAAUGAAGUAGGAUAACAUUUGUUGGCUUCUACCUGUAUACUUUCAGGCGCCGUGGUGAUGGACAUUAAUGCAACAGACAGGGCCUGGACGAUUAACAUUUCUGCACCUGCGGCAAAUCGAAGGGGGAAAAUGCAAAUGCUUGACUUGAGGUCGUAAUGAGGAAAACGCCGACUGUAAAUAAAUUGUCGUAUUUAUGCAUAGCCAAACAAACAGGACAGAACUCUAUCAAAGAGAGCCAACGGGCAGAGUAAUAAUCGAUUGUCUUGCCAAACUGAAUGGGAGACAGCCAAUAAUUUAUGCAUUUUUUUGGGUAAAAAACUUAAAACCUUCUAUCGGCCCUUGUUUUGCCAAUGCGAAUGAAUGAAGACGGUAAUGAGAAUUGAUGGUCAAAUUUUGAUUUGGGAUGGGCCUGUUGAAGGAUCGUCCCCAAAGUUGAUGUCGGACUGCUGUUGUCUGUAAAAUGAUCAUUUUUGGACGAAAUCCAAUCAACGUCCCGAGUGACCGCACUUUGCAUCCGUUUCAAGAUGAAGAAUUGAAAAGGUGUCAUUGCCAUGGCCAGCACACAAAAAUAUAUGCAACAUUUUUGGCUAGCCCUUAUUGCCUAUAAAAAUUCCAAACGUUAAAAAUCGCUUGUAACUUUCCAAACGAAAAAAAUAAAAGGCAAGUCUGGAACACAAUCCAACGUUUUCUUUUUCCUGUUGAAAUAUUAUUUUAUAGUUUUGCCUUUGCCAAAUUUUGUGCUGACUCAUUCAUUGGUUAGGAAAAUAGCAAAAAACUUUGGCUGGAUUUUAUUUUUUAUAGAUUUUGACUUGUCGUGUUACUCUGAUGUCCCGCAGUGCGUCUAGCAGCUUCUCGUGUGAUGUUGUCGAAAAAAAGGAUCGUAUUUGUCGCCAGACAACUCAAAAUAAAGUUUCAUGAUUGGAAAGAAUAAAAACUCUGAUUGCUUUUUAGAGAGAUAUGCUUUAUCCAAUGCUUAGAAAUGGGAGGCAUAUUUUUUAAAAAAUAAUGAUUUAAACGAAAGAAUGUUUGAAUCGUUGUCCAAGUCUUUUAUCCAUUUUCUUUUUCUUUCUUUUCUGAAGACAUAAUUUCUCGUGAUUUAUUCACGCACUUCUCCUAUAAACCAGCUGACUCACGUUUGUAUGGAAGAUGGCCAAACAUGUUACGGUUUCGGUUUUCCUUGUUAGUUUUUAUCAACUCGAUCUCAAGUGAAAAAAAACAACCGCGGAACAACGAAACGCAACCUAUCAUAAUUAUCGUGCACGGAAUACACUAAGAGGCGCGUCUAUUCGAAUUUUGAUUUACAACAGCCGGGCUUAUGUGUCUACAUGCCUAGUGGCUAUUACGUCUUGAAAUAAUAAAAGAGGGGUUUACAACUGCGAAAUUCAGCGUUAAGAAAAAAACACACUUCUAUAGUCGGCAGGUAGGGUCACCAAGUACAACAGAAAAAGAAGGUAAAGUAUCGAGUUAAUGAUGUGCAAUUUAGUGGGGUAGAGUAUCUAAAGUCAUCUGCUUGUAAAAAAGUGUAAAAUAGGUUUAUUUAAAUUACGUUCUCGGUCUUGUUUUAUAUACUGUACUUCAUUCAGCAGAUAGUAAACGUGUAAAAAACAAAAUUAAACAUUUGUUGAUAAGAUUAUGAUGGUUUUUAUUUUUGUAGCGGUCGCUUUCGUCUAGAAAGGAAAUUAUGCAAAUACAGGAGACGACUUUGUCUUUCUUUUUCUCUACUUUUCGUUUUGUUUUUUUGGUCGUUUUGUCGUAAUAUCUUACCCGUUCCCCUCAACUGUCCCAUUCCUUUGUUUUCUUUUAGAGUCUAACUACUUUUUAGUUGCCAUUCGCAUUACGCAAUUCGUACAAACAUGUCACGUUUUUAUUAGAGGAAGGUGUCGUUUAUGCAGUCUCGUACUGUACGUAUAGUUUUUAAGUAUAUCUAUAGACGUUGUAAAUGCAAAUUAAAUUUCAAAGAUCACACUUUGAAUUUUAUUCAUUCUGUCUCGUUAACUGCUUCCCUUCUCCAACAUCCGGAUUAAAAGAUGCAGAAUACAACGAACCCGACAUGUCAGCCAAUCUAAACGGUCAUAAAAAUGGAGGUUGCAGUCGGUCAGGUCAGACAGGGAAUCGGACGCUUGAAGGCCAGAUUCAUAGAGUCUUGUCAGAAGAAGAGAAAGGGAUGUCUGGUACGAGGGAGGCCACUGCGUGAGAAGCAGAAGGAUAACUUUGGUUUCCUGGUGCAGACUGGUACCACCACUUUCCCCAAGAGUUUUUUACCAGGAUUGCUGCACACUGUGGUCCAAACCGAUAAAACUGUCGCAGUUCAACGCUAAAUAUCCAAAAAAGGAGGGUGGAAGAUGGCAAGCAAGAGAGGUUGAACGUUGACUCAAGGAUUGCAGUGUGCUGUUUAUUUAUAUACUUGUGAUUGGUUAAUGUUAAAAAGGUUUAAAGCGUUCAGUUAACAAAUAAAUAUUCAAUGACCUGUUGAAUGUUUAAUCCCCGUGAUUGAACAGGUCAAAGUUAAAUCACAUCAGGGGAGUCACACAUUACUGUUUAAUUGACAGGGCACUAUCUGAAAGAAACACCAGAACAAAGAAAUCCAUCACCUGUCUAAUGUUGAACUGAAGGGAGACUUCAAAUUCAUUUGUCUAGACAGAAUCCAGUGUUGGCUGUGUCCGCUCCGGCGAAAGCUGGAACGGUUGGCACAUUUAAGGCUGCAAUCGCCGCUUCGGUGCUGUCUGUCCGGAUUACUUACUGCAAACUUGGACACUGGUGGCUGCGCCUGGCACUAAAGCAGUGCCUACUGCUGGAUUCAAAUGGUUUCCACAGUAACGGUCAGCUUCAACUCCAUUUGCAUCUCGAGCACCGGCGAUGAGAAGGAAAUCGUAUAAGCAGGUCGCAACAAGGGUAGUGCCAGCAGCACUAACGGUUGUACCCACGUUAGAGUUCGGAAAGGCGGCAUUAAUUUGGGCUGCAGCAACCGAAAUCGCACCAAUAUUAGUAUUUCCAACUACAACAGCUGCUGAAGUUGUGAUGGAGAAGGGAUCACCGGCAUUCGUGACCGAACAAAUUGACAAGCACAUCUGUGUUGCUCGCUACUCAUUACCAUUAUUCAAGAAUAAUUCAAACCUGUCCUGAAAUGAGCUCGGUUCGGAAGCAGAUGUUGUAGUUUUGAUUGUUGAGCUGACGAAUAGCGCCGCCAGUGGUAUCCUGCCAGUUAAACGAUUUCACUUUACCCGUAGAUGCCGUGUAAUACUGGAGGCAAUCUGUUGGGGCUAUAAAUCAAAACAAAACGAAAAGGAAAAUUGAUUUUUGAAAAAUUAACGAUGUGGUGGUGUAACGAAGACUAGUUUACCCAGGUAGGAGGCACCGCAAGGAAGCAAUGCGAUUUUGAUGUUCCAGGAACGUGUGGUUGUCCCUGUUCCAAAACUGAAUAUGAGCUGGACAUCGGUGGGAGUAAGGGCAGAAGACGGAACGUCCAGGAACUGCGUUAGUUUGCUGUUAUGUCUUUGGAUAUUACUGUGCUGCCCGCUGUUAUCGCCGCAAAUAAUGGGCACAGUUGAAGAUGAUCCGCCAGCUUGGAAAGUAUCAACGCAAGUUCCCAAUGUCGGUUGGGCUGUCGUGAAGGACACAAAGUCGAGCCUGAAUGAGAGUUGUAACGACAACAUUCCCAUCAUUUUCCUCUUAAGAUUAACAUUUUAAGCUGACCGGAUUUGGCAAAUGGGCUUCUUAAGCUGUUCCACAAACUUGGUGUCCAAUCUGAUGGUCAAUGCACAGGUGGAGGAGGCGCUAACGGGUGUAGUAGGAGACUGCCAGUACGUGUUGUUCAGCGUGACUGUACCGCCACACGCUGUAACCGCAUCUGUGAACCAAAGACGCAGGAACCGCUUGGUCGUCCACGAAACAAAGAGCAAACUGAUCCUGGGACGCAGAUUCCUGCGUCACCGCUAGGUGAAGUGCAGGCGUCGAAGGUGUCGAGAGGAUUGUCAAAAUUGGGAUUGUACGAAACAGGAAUUCUAUUUGCGAAAUUGGCGAACGGUCUCCACGUAUUCGCCGGUGAGAAACGAUUGUUGAAGAGGCCUGUGUUGAUUAUUGAGGCACCUAAACCACCGAGGGCAAACCGGCCUUCUGCUAGAUUGGCAUUCUCAUCGGCGGUAAUUCAAUGAUGGACUUACUACUAUUGUAAUAUUUCUUGUGUGGAUUGACUCUGGAUUGCAGGCUGCUGGAGACUGUUCGUCCUUCAUAUGGAAUGCCAUACCCUAAAAAAGCAAAACAUUUCAACCACGUAGGAAAAUAGCACAAUGAUCAUAGCCAUAAGCCUUAGCAAAAUACUCUUCUGAUUGAUACCUAGCAGCUGCUAAUUGUUCCUCUUCGUUACCAUCGUCACAAGCUCGGCUGACUUGUCCGAACAUCAAACCUACGGAAAGGAACAGACGUUUAUAGUUUAACGAAGACCUACGGAGACUGUGACGGAUCAACCGAGCUGGCCCAUCUUAUAUAGUCGAUACGGGUUGGACUGUCGACCCUAUAACUAUCCAUUAUGGUAAUUUGUCGUGCAGAGAUGGGAAAUGAUGAUCCUAGUGCAACAGAUUUGGCGAGGCCUGCUCAGAAAUUAAAGAAACUCAGCCCAAAUUCGGGAAUGGCGGUGGUUUCUGGCGGAUUAUGGGAUAAGUGAUGCUCUUUUGUAGGUGGAAGGGUACGAGGAAAGCCGCUCUGAAUAAAAAGCCAUUACAACUUUGAGCUUUCAAUCCAUAUUUUGAAAGGCAUUGACGCUUUCACGGGACCAAAAGUUCAAGGUAGGACGUUUCGUUUGCUGACAUGUUUUGGAGCGGGAUUUCAAGGAUAUAAGGAAUUCAUUUCAAUCUGCUUUGUCGCUUAACAGCUAUGAGACUCGGGUCAAUACCAUGAUGUAUAGAAUAACAGUGCUAAUCAACGUAAUUCGUCAAGUUGUGCACGAAAAACGGUAGGUAAAGGGGGAAAAAGUCCACGCAAUUCAAAACAUUUCCGGAAUUUCGACCGUACGUGACUUAAAGAAUGGGUAGGGGGUCAUUAAACAACACGUACGGCUGUUUUAGCAUGAAAACUAACCUACGAGUCAUUGGUUUAAUGCCAAUAAACUGCGAUUGGGAUAGUAAAUGGGACUUGCUGUACAUUCUGUCUAUCCCAAGUUGAAUGAGUUUCAAACGAUUCCAGCAGAAGUUUCAUCAACAAAAUUCUAGCAUAGUAAAGCCUUGAACACGCGGGGUUGAUUAUGUUAACGAUUUUAACGUAUCUGAUGUAGCAUCUAACGUAUAUUCAGUGUAGGUGUCUGAAAGGAGACUGUGAUGCAGUGGAAUAUAAGGCAGGAAAUCGCAUUGGAAACAGUUCUGCUGUGUUGAUUCAGCCUUUUAAACCUCUUUUGCUCUAUUUAAACUCGUGGUUGGAACUCUUCCAUCAAAAGUGAGUAGGCUACAUGUUUUUCACAGUCACGGUAAUCUACUGAAAACCCAUUUUAAAAACUCCAGCACCAGGAGACGAUUGCAAAAUCCGACGUUAAGCGUAUCCGCCGGAGCGGGAAGAACAUUGGUGGCGGCAGCCACAGCCGCUUCGGUGCUGUCGGUCCGGUAAUUCAUUUUGAAUGAUUUGAUAGGAGCUGUGUAACAAAGACAUUCAGCUCAAACUGACCCAGCAGCUGCCGGAUUGAGUGCGUUACCACAGUAACGGUCCGCCGCAAUCCCUGCCGCAUCUCGACCACCACCGAUGAGCAAAAAAUCGUACAUGCAGGUGGCUGUGGUGACGCCAUUCACCACAGCACUAGUGCCCACUCCGGAGAGAACGCCAGCAGCAGCAGCGGCUGUAGCAGCGUUAGUUUGAGCUGUUGCAAGAUUGGCUUGAGCGGUUGCGAGGGCCGCAUUAGCAGCCGUGAUAGUAGCUGCAACACCUCCCGCCACCGCCGUGGCUACGUUAGCUGUGGCAAUUGUUACUGCUGUUACUGCUCCCGUCACAAGAGCGGCAGCAGCAGCGGCAGCAUUGUUUGUCGGUGUUGUGAUAGAAAAAGCAUCGCCAUUGGUGACCGUACAAGCUGAUAAGCACACUUCCGUUGCACGCUAGGCAUGAAUUGAAUUUGAAGUAGUUGUAAUGUUAGUUGAAUGGCCUUUCUUUGUUAGCGGGUAUUUAUUAACAAAGAUGAUUCGUACCUGUCCUGAAAGCAGUUCGGUCCUAAAACAAAUGUUGUAAUUUUGGUUGUUGAGUUGGCGGAUGGUGGUAGUGGCCACGUCUUGCCAGUUAAAUGAUUUAACUUUACCAGAGCUUGUGGUGAAGUAUUGCAGGCAGUCGGCAGGAGCUUGAGUCAUAAUCAAGGUAGGAGGCACCGCACGGGAGCAUUGCGAUUUUGAUGUUCCAUGAACGCGUAGCUGUUCCUGUUCCAAAGUUGAACACGAGUUGGACAUCAGAGGGUGUGGUGGCAGACGAUGGCACGUCGAUGUACACUGUGUUUUUACUUACUGUGCUGUCCGUUGUUGUCUCCGCAAAUAAUUGGAACUGUAGAAGUUGAACCGCCGACCUGAAAAGUAUCUGUGCAAGUUCCUAGUGUCGGCUGGGCAGUCGUGAAAGAAACAAAGUCCAGUCUAGACGAUAAGCAAAUUCGAAUUGUUGAUUCAUUUAGCUGGGUUAAUCAACGAUGUGUCUUACCGAAUUUGGCAGAUGGGCUUCUUUAGUUGCUCCACGUACUUGGUGUUCAAUCGGACUGUCAGCGUGCAGCUGGAUGAAGCGCUAACGGCCGUAAUGGGAGACUGCCAGUACGUGUUGUUUAGAGUAACGCUUCCGCCACAGCCAGUGAUGGCGUCUGUUAAAAAUGGACGCAGGAACCACUAGGUUUGCCACCAAACAAGGAACAGGCCGAUCCUGGAACGCAAAUUCCUGACUCGCCGCUAGGUGAAGUGCAUCCGUCGAAGUCGUCGAGAGGGCUAUCGAAAUUUGGAUUGUACGUAAUAGGAAUUCUGUUUGCUAAACUGUUAAACGGUCUCCACGUAUUCGCUGGAGUAAAUCGGUUGUUAAAGAG